RNAcentral lists this ribosomal RNA (497 nucleotides) under uncultured bacterium. RNAcentral's name for it is "partial 16S ribosomal RNA". It matches the Rfam family "Bacterial small subunit ribosomal RNA", at positions 28 to 507 of the family's 1533-position model. The record is from RNAcentral.
GAUGAACGCUGGCGGCGUGCCUAAUACAUGCCAGUCGAGCGAACAGACGAGGAGCUUGCUCCUCUGACGUUAGCGGCGGACGGGUGAGUAACACGUGGAUAACCUACCUAUAAGACUGGGAUAACUUCGGGAAACCGGAGCUAAUACCGGAUAAUAUAUUGAACCGCAUGGUUCAAUAGUGAAAGACGGUUUUGCUGUCACUUAUAGAUGGAUCCGCGCCGCAUUAGCUAGUUGGUAAGGUAACGGCUUACCAAGGCAACGAUGCGUAGCCGACCUGAAGGGGUGGUCGGCCACCCUGGAACUGAGACACGGCACAGACUCCUAGGGGAGGAAGCAGUAGGGACUCUUCCGCAAUGGGCGAAAGCCUGACGGAGCAACGCCGCGUGAGUGAUGAAGGACUUCGGAUCGUAAAACUCUGUUAUUCGGGAAGAACAAAUGUGUAAGUAACUAUGCACGUCUUGACGGUACCUAAUCAGAAAGCCACGGCUAACUACGUG